CUACACGGAUAACUGUGGUAAUUCUARAGCUAAUACGUGCAAACGGCUCGUUCCCUUGUGGAGCGAGCGCAGUUAUUAGAACAAAACCAAUCCGGCCUUCGGGUCGGUUAAAAUGGUGACUCUGAAUAACCGAAGCGGAGCGUAUGGUCUCGUACCGACGCCAGAUCUUUCAAGUGACUGCUCUAUCAGCUUGUUGCUAGGUUAUGCUCCUAGCAAGGCUUCAACGGGUAACGGGGUAUCAGGGUCCGAUACCGGAGAGGGAGCCUGAGAAACGGCUACCACAUCCAAGGAAGGCAGCAGGCGCGCAAAUUACCCACUCCCAGCACGGGGAGGUAGUGACGAAAAAUAACGAUGCGAGGGCAUAUUGCUUCUCGUAAUCGGAAUGGGUACACUUUAAAUCCUUUAACGAGGAUCUAUUGGAGGGCAAGUCUGGUGCCAGCAGCCGCGGUAAUUCCAGCUCCAAUAGCGUAUAUUAAAGUUGCUGCGGUUAAAAAGCUCGUAGUUGGAUCUGGGCAGCUGGAUGUGCGGUGCGCUUUACAGCGUUACUGCUCGUUUGGCGCCACAAGCCGGCCAUGUCUUGCAUGCUCUUCACUGCGUGUGCUUGGCGACCGGAACGUUUACUUUGAAAAAAUUAGAGUGCUCAAAGCAGGCGUAUGGCCUUGCAUAAUGGUGCAUGGAAUAAUGGAAUAGGACCUCGGUUCUAUUUUGUUGGUUAUCGGAGCUCGAGGUAAUGAUUAAGAGGAACAGACGGGGGCAUUC
RNAcentral lists this ribosomal RNA (759 nucleotides) under Macrobiotus sp. PC-2013. RNAcentral describes it as "SSU rRNA". It matches the Rfam family "Eukaryotic small subunit ribosomal RNA", at positions 136 to 904 of the family's 1831-position model. The record is from RNAcentral. Lineage: Eukaryota; Metazoa; Tardigrada; Eutardigrada; Parachela; Macrobiotidae.